Astatotilapia calliptera (eastern happy) is the source of this 3002-nucleotide long non-coding RNA. The record is from Ensembl. Lineage: Eukaryota; Metazoa; Chordata; Actinopteri; Cichliformes; Cichlidae.
GAAGUGGUGGUUACUGAUGACUCAGCCGAGCCAUGCAUUUCAUUCUUUCUCUCUCCAGUCUCUCUGUGCUCUCUCCUUCCUCUGUCAUUUGCUUUGCUCUUUACAUUCUAUUCAUUCUUCUUUUCUAUUCUGGAUCUUUAUUUUCUAUUUUACUCUCACCCUUUCUGUCUCUGUCCACCACCUUUUCUCUCUUCCCCCUGAUUCAUCUUGACCUUUGGAGACAUCUCUGAGUGUGUAUUUUUGUGUGUAUGUGUGUGUGUGUGUGUGUGUGUGUAUGAGAGAGUGUGCAUGUGCUGUGUGUCUGCCUUACUAGGAUAUUCAGCAAUGUGAGUGGGAAGAUAACUGGCUUCCUUCAGAGUGAUUAAAACAUUCCUUCUUCUUUAUCCUCUCUCUCUUUCUUUCUCUACCCUUUUAGUUCUCAUUGACUUUCUGAUGAAGAUGAGGAUGAGGAGAGACAAACUGGACUGUCCAUGAGGUCUGGGGUCAGCUUACUUACACAUCUUUUAGGUCUAAGACGCAGGAUUGAGAAACAGUUUCACCACAGGACUAUCAGACUGGUUUCCACCACAUUCACCCAUCCUGACAAGCGGUGGGGAAACCACCCCAGCAAAGCUCAUCUGUAUGCAGCCAGUUAUGGCCACCAGUGAAUGUCGGCCGUGUCUUGGGAGGCAGAUGGGACUGUAUGCUAAUGAGAAGGUUAGCGCUGAAGUGUCCUUGGGCAAAAUACUGAACCCCAAAAUUGCCCCCUACAUCUGUCUGAGUGUAGUUGAGAUGUUGCUGAGGCACUUUGUGGUUAUGACCUCAUCAUCAUGAGAUGGAAAGGCUGGUGACUGCAGGCAGCUACAGAAGAGGUGGUGCUGUGUUGUGGUUUGCAGCUGCUGGUUCUUGGCAAAAUAAAUUGCACUGUGGAGAUGCCUCAGGGAAUUAUUUGCUCAAAGGUUGAAAGGAUGAACAAAAAAAGGAAUUCAAGAGGUAUUUGUGAUUCAGACUGUGUUUGUCUGUAGUUGUGACUUAGAUGUAUCUCAGAUCAAAUUUCGUAAUCGAUGGAGAAACUGUUUUUAAAAAAAUAUUUAUUUAUUAUUUUUAAUCAGAAAUAUCUUUUUACACCAGCGAUUAAGUUCCACAGUUUAAGGACUAACUGGUCUGGUUGACUGACACUGCUGAGUAACACUACAGUGUUUUAAAACCAUUAACAGGCUGCCAUUCAUGGGGUGAGUGGGCUUCAUGGCUAUUGUCACACAUUACAACCACGUAGUAAAAUUUUAAAAAGUUGUUAUUGCUGAGAACAUGUCAUUCAUCAGAAAUGUGCACACAUUUUACAUGAUAGGAACUGUUUUUUCCCCACUUCUCCUGAAAUAUACUACAUCAGGAAAAAAAAGGUUUUUACCCUAAAAUUCGCAUGUUUUGAGCAGGGUUUUGAAAAAUUUUCCACUAAUCCGUCCUGAGUCAUAGGUAUGACUUCAGCAAUGUUAGGGAACUUCUUUAGAUGGUGUUAAAGAGCUUAACAGGCGCCUCCUUGUUGGAAUGUAAUGACUCCGCUUCUGUUUGGAGAAACCCCAGAUCUAAAGAGCUCCUCUUUUCUGUGUUUUAAGAGAAAGACAUACUCCUCUCUUUUCUACUUUUUAAAUGUAUCCAUACUCUGGCAUUCAUAGGAAUUGGCAUUAACACGAGUGGAUAGAAACUACGUGAAAAAUGAGUCAUGCCUAGAAAACCCUGACCUUAGAAAAUGUUGAUAUACACUAAUUUAUGUGCUUUGGGGUCCUUAGGGACUAGAAAAGCGCUAUACAAAUGCAGGCCAUUUACCAUUUACCAUUUAUUCCCUUAACUAUAUAAAGAUUGGUGCCUGAAUUUUUUUUUCUGUAUGUGUAAGAUUUGUAACAUGUAACAUUUCCAUUCUACAACAUGCAGUGGGAAGACUACAUGUAGUCUUGUACCUACAAUCUUGAAUUUCAAGGCCUGAUGUGGAUGCUUGUCUCACCUACUUUUUCCCUGUACUUGUUUUGCUCUAACAUUACCAUUAAUUAAUAAACUAAUUAUCUAGCCUAUGGAAUUGAUACAUUUGGCUGUUAAUUAUUAAAAAAGAAGCAUACACUAUUCUUAUGGGCCAAUCAAUAAUCUAAAAGAAGCUUUGACAAAUCAACACUUUUAAUAGUCAAUUAAUAGUCAAUAUAUGACCCCACACCCCUGCACACACACACACACACACACACACACACACACACCACACACACACACACACACACACACACGCACACACACACACACAUAGAAAAAAAACAUGAAAACGUGACUUGGUUUAGUUUGACCGCUGUUACAUUGAGGCAGUGAUAUUUGAGUGCUGAGCAGGAAGCAGGUUCUCAUAGCCCUGUCUUUUUCCCCAUGUUGAAAAUGGUGGCACAGAAUGUAAGAUUGUAAUGUAUGAAGUACCAAGGAAAUUUUGCUAUGAAAUAAAAAAAUGUAAUAAAAUGCAGUUUUUCUUAAGAGUCAUGGAGUUUUCAGGUAUCAUGUUUAGGAAAUGCUUCAGUGAAGUGACACUUUUUAAAGCAAGUGGGUGAUUGAUCGGUGAACUGAGGAGUUUAAUGUGGCAUGGACAUUCAGGUUCAGGUGUAAUUUCUCGCACAAUAUGCCGAUCAGUAUGGUACAUACAAGAGAGUGGACAGGAAAAGAGCUCAGUUUGUUCAUAUGGGUAAUGCAGACGAAAAAAAUACAUUUGCAGUGUGUGUGUGUGUGUGUGUGUGUGUGUGUGUGUGUGUGUUUGUGUAUUGUAAAAGGAACCGUGUAAACUUAAAAGAGGGACAAAGACCAAAGAAGGAAGAGUGCAUGUGAAAAAGAGAAAGACAAAGUGGUGAGAGAGGGCGUAUAUCUUUAGCUGCCUAUAAAGCUCUGCGUGCUUCUCAUUUUAGGCAGAAGUGAAUCCUGGCUGUAAGAAAUGAUGACAAUACACUAAUAAAGCAUCUCAAACUGAGGAACUUGUCUGUUGUGUUUGUUGGUACACUUUAAGG